RNAcentral lists this unclassified non-coding RNA (263 nucleotides) under Hevea brasiliensis (rubber tree). The record is from RNAcentral. Lineage: Eukaryota; Viridiplantae; Streptophyta; Magnoliopsida; Malpighiales; Euphorbiaceae.
AACACAAAAAACAGGUAGCUGUGGAAUUUGGAAUUCCAUUAUUUGUUCAUAAAGUGGUCGAUUCUAGAGAGGCCCCUGCUUUACCCGGGCUACCAUCAUCAACGAUAAAUGCUGAGGAGGCAGGGGUGUCUCCUUUACAAUUGCGCACUGCUGCAAUGGCUCUUUUGCGUCAUGGAUCCAGCAUGCCACCCAGGCGCCGAGAAGAACUAACACAGAUUGUUACACAAUAUUAUGGAGGAAGGGAGAUCACCGAGGAAGAUUUG